Non-coding RNA from Ciona intestinalis (vase tunicate), 646 nucleotides. The record is from RefSeq and is a predicted model, not a curated record. Lineage: Eukaryota; Metazoa; Chordata; Ascidiacea; Phlebobranchia; Cionidae.
UAGAAUGAAGAUAUUGUUGUUGUUUAUUGUUUGAUCCAUUCAUGGUGUCCUUGUUUUCUGCAAAGAGGACAGAAAUGGCGUCUUUGAAACGGAACAUAUUUUUGAAAGCAUUUUGAAAGCGACUGGGGCAAAUGGGACAAAAAUGAAUAUAAACGCUACAAGAAAUUUGUUACACCACUUUAAUGAAACGUGCGUUUCUGCGGAAAACGUAUCACAAUGGCUGGAAAAGAUACUGGGAGCAGUCUCAACGAAACGGAGUUUAUAGCAAUUGCACCAGUUCUGGUAUAUCAUCUGUUACAACGCAAUAGUUCGUGUAAUGGCACAGAUUGGAAUCUCAAAAUAAAUGAAACGUGGAAACAAAAUUAACUUUGCUAUGAGAAGUUAUCGUCUAUAAUAAGUUCCCUAACACAAGAUGAAGAAUACAAAGAAAAAUGCUGAAAAAAUUUUGGAGCUGGAACAAUACUUAAAAGGCCUUGUGUAUCUGAUAGACUUGAAGUCGGUUAUGCUUUUUCAAGUGUUCUCAAUUCUGUUGUCAAAAAGGAAUGCCCAUUACCAUCUGUCAAUCAAUUUAAAACACAAAUUCUGUCAAUCUUCAACAAGACAGAAAAUGAUUCUUUUUCUGAGUCAGGUAAUUUGAUUUCAUGUU